GAAACACCAUUAUUUAAUCAAAAUAGACUUUUACUUUUAAAUUAAAGAAAUUUAAAAAGUACACAUACAGUGUUGGGAUCAUGAGCUUGUAAUCAUAACCCCAACACUGCAUGCAUUCACCCCUGGCGGGGCGCGUGCCACAGUGGGCCACCUUUGUGGGACAGCCAGAUCUGGUGUGGGCUAGGAGCCUCUGGCACUCUGAGGCGCCCUUGGCCUACAGGCUUGCCGGGACCGUGCUCCCGCCCACUGGAUCAAGAUGGAGGAGGAACAGGAAAAAGGGCGACCGCUGGCGUUUCAGAUCCAGGGAGAUUUCUAGCAGUCCUUCACCCUUUUGGCAGGUGCUUUACGAAAGAAAAAUUGCCAACCUUUGCUCUAAAGCAUAAUUGAGGAAAAAUAAAGGAAAAAUGGAACAGGUGAACCUAAGAAACCAACAAAGCAGAAGGAAGAACACAGCAUUAAACUAGUAAAACAACACACCCUCCAUCAAAAUCAGAAAAUGCUCCACACCUAUAGCACCAAUUCUUCCAAUCAAGAUUGAUCAUGGCAUGCCUUCCUGCUAAGUCUCAACAUGGUCUUUCAAUUAGUCUAGUGAUCCAAGUAUCAAUAAUGGGAAGUGACACUUGAAACCAAUUUUCUAUCCGGAACCUCUUCUUUAGAGGAUGUCACCAAGCUUCAUAUGCUGAAACUAUUUUUCUGGAAAAAGAAGUAAAUUUGAAGAAUUCAAAGGUUUUGUAGGGUGCUUAUCCUUAAGUUAGAAGUCAUUCCUGGUCUCUGCUUUUCCUGAACUGGACUCAGCAGCCCUCCAAGUACAAUUUUUAGAGACCAACUGGAAAAAGAAAGAACUGAAAGCUUCUAAGAAACAUCUGUCUUCAGAGGAAGGAGAGAGGAACUCCUGUCAGAGAUGGCCAUGGUCCUUCAUUUGUUACUCUACCAUUCCAGUCCUAUAGAAGUAUCAGGGCAGCUAAAAUGGAAUACUGCUAUGAAAAUUCAACAAAAUUGAUAAAAUGUGAAGAAAUUGAUUGGAAUAGCUUUCCAGAGGUUAACUUGAAUUAUAAAGUAAUAGUAGUUGUUGAAUAAAGAAGAGCAGGUAAUUGUAAGGCUUUUUCUCGCGUGUGGGAUAGAUGGAGGAGGAGAAUUGGAUUUCUUGGACUGUGCUUGAGAAUUAAGUUAAGGAUGGAGGUACAGAAGAGAUGAGAGAUGACACAAGGUAUAUUUCAAUGGAAAAGUAAUAGUUAAUAUGUGCUUGCUUCUGGGGAUAACUGGAAGCCAGAGGCCUAGGAAUGAAUUAAGGAGAAAGAAAGUCAUAGCCUGCAUGAAUUUACGAAAGUAAGAAAAGCUAACUAAGGAUGUUCCUGUUAUAUUUCAAUCCACGGAAGCGGUAGAGCUGAUUCAAAGGAUACACAAAUUAUGAUAGAAGAAAAAAACCUGGAAUUGACUCAUAGUUUCUUUGUCCCAAAGUAGUGUAUUUUCUUUUUUAAAAUUAGAACUCAGGCCACUAAAUUUGUUAUUGUGCUAAAACUAGGAACAGAAUUGGAUUAUCUCCUGGUUUUGACUUUCUCCUUGGGAAUAAACUUUUACUACAAAGUAGAUUGUGGCAUAUAGUAACGGUAUUUUUAUUGUACAGCUCGUUGGUUUGUAUUAAAUUCCCACCCCAAGAUCUGCCUUCUUUUUACAAGGAAACAUUGUUCUAUGGGAUUGUGUGUUUAGAUAUGCAUUUAAAACAUGUCUACCACCUUAGGAGAAAAAAUAGCCUCUGAGAUUUGGACCACACAUUGUUGGUACAGAAGCUGAAGAUGAUGUUUUCAUUUACCUCACAAAAUGCCACGCUUUUCUGUGUUUAAUUUCUAUUUCCUUCUUUCCCUCUACUUUUCACCCUUUUUGCAUAGUUAAAUCUUCAAAUCUGGUAAAAAAAAAAAAAAAACAAAACCUCAACCCCACUACAUUUAUUCUAAAUUCACGAGGAUUGUAUUUACUUAAAAAAAUACUUCUUUCAGGAUUGACACAGUACUUCUGCUUUCAGUAAAUCCAACAAUACUCAGUGUUACUGGAUGUUGGAUGGUAGCUUCACAGCAUUAAGAAUGCAGCAUGCAGCAUGAUGAAGAUCAAAAUGACUUACGCAGGCUUGAGCAGCUGUGCUGCCCAUAGGGUCAGGCAUUCUAGUUGGUGUGAUGAAACGUUUAUAAAUUAAACCAUUCAUGUGCAUUUUGUAUUGAUUUUCUAACAUACAAAAUGAGUGUCUUACCAGCAGAAUAAAAUACAAUAAAAUAUGUGUUUUUUUAAAUUGUGGGA
Long non-coding RNA from Equus asinus (donkey), 2289 nucleotides. NCBI's taxonomy places the organism in Eukaryota, Metazoa, Chordata, Mammalia, Perissodactyla, Equidae. The record is from Ensembl.